RNAcentral lists this ribosomal RNA (476 nucleotides) under uncultured Anoxybacillus sp. RNAcentral's name for it is "bacterial SSU rRNA". It matches the Rfam family "Bacterial small subunit ribosomal RNA", at positions 902 to 1382 of the family's 1533-position model. Lineage: Bacteria; Bacillati; Bacillota; Bacilli; Caryophanales; Anoxybacillaceae. The record is from RNAcentral.
CAAAUGAAUUGACGGGGCCCACACAAGCGGCGGAGCAUGCGGAUUAAUUCGAUGCAACGCGAAGAACCUUACCAAGGCUUGACAUACACCGGUAACGCCCAGAGAUGGGUGCCCCUUUGUGGUCGGUGGACAGGUGGUGCAUGGUUGUCGUCAGCUCGUGUCGUGAGAUGUUGGGUUAAGUCCCGCAACGAGCGCAACCCUCGACCUUAGUUGCCAGCAUUCAGUUGGGCACUCUAAGGUGACUGCCGGCUAAAAGUCGGAGGAAGGUGGGGAUGACGUCAAAUCAUCAUGCCCCUUAUGACCUGGGCUACACACGUGCUACAAUGGGCGGUACAAAGGGUCGCGAACCCGCGAGGGGGAGCCAAUCCCAAAAAGCCGCUCUCAGUUCGGAUUGCAGGCUGCAACUCGCCUGCAUGAAGCCGGAAUCGCUAGUAAUCGCGGAUCAGCAUGCCGCGGUGAAUACGUUCCCGGGCCUU